ACAGCCUGGAGUUCUGGCAUUGUAUCAGUUGAUCUCAAGCUGUGAGGGCCUCAGAGGAGAGGGACAGCCCAGAGAAGGCUGGUGGGGCAAUAACUAAGUAAAGACUGGUGACCUCGGAGUCAACACAUCUCAAAGAGCUGGCAGAAUAACUUCCACCUAUCACAAGGACAGUGUCAGCAGGUAAUCAUGGGGUAGGUGGCUACCAUGGACAUCGGAGGCCCCAGAGCAAGAGGUGGUGUACCAGAUACAUCACAUGCAUUAUCUCAUUGCUGUCAAGCGGCACUUGUGACGAAUCGAUCUGAAUGUAUUGAGGCGAAUGACAUAGCCACACAGAAUACCAUGUGGAAGAAAGGAACAGAGCCAAGUCGUUCUGGAAACAGAAUCCCAACCCAACCUGGUAAGACCAAAGACAAAAGAAUGUACAGUAAACUCAGGCUGUUGUUGGCAAGCUUUU
RNAcentral lists this long non-coding RNA (454 nucleotides) under Rattus norvegicus (Norway rat). RNAcentral's name for it is "long non-coding RNA NONRATT033623". The record is from RNAcentral. Lineage: Eukaryota; Metazoa; Chordata; Mammalia; Rodentia; Muridae.